AUAUAUAUAUGUACACACACACACAUUGUAUAUUAUAUAUAUAUGUGUGUGUGUGUAUAGUGUAUACAU
Non-coding RNA from Podarcis lilfordi (Lilford's wall lizard), 69 nucleotides. Lineage: Eukaryota; Metazoa; Chordata; Lepidosauria; Squamata; Lacertidae. The record is from the annotation of a GenBank genome assembly.